This 1705-nucleotide unclassified non-coding RNA is filed under the name Acer obtusifolium. RNAcentral's name for it is "external transcribed spacer". Lineage: Eukaryota; Viridiplantae; Streptophyta; Magnoliopsida; Sapindales; Sapindaceae. The record is from RNAcentral.
AGGUGUCCGCUGCGAAAUGGGAUGCUCGGUGCCUAUGCCAUGCACACCCCCCGACCCAUCAAGGAGGAUGGGUGCAUGGCAUAGGCAAUACCCCCCCGUCGUUGGGUGGCGACGGGGGGAUGUCGGUCCGGUGGUCUCCGACCGCCGUUCCGACCGUCGGUCCGGUGAAAACGGUCAGGUGGGCUAGUAGGGCUUUGUUGCUAUUUUUCGAGAGGAGAGGGACGGCACACCUCGAAUUUCGAUCUCGCUAACGUACUAGAAGGGCAUUCGUGACCAUGGCUUCGGCUUUGGGACGAGCGAGCGAACGGAAAAUGCUGCGGUCGGGUCAAGAUUUGGGUUUUAACCUCUCGUUGGAGCGCAGCACUGUCUCUAUUUUCUCGUCUGGCCGUUGAUGGAGAUAAUUCAUUAUUCUCCAUCCUGUCCCGUCGGAAAUUUUUAAAACUUGGUCAGGUGGCCUAGUAGGGCUUUGUUGAUCUUUCUCGAGGGGAGAGGGACGGUUCAUCUCGGAUCUCGAUCUUUCCAACGUAUUCGAUGGGCAUUCGUGACCAUGGCUUCGGCUUUGGGACGAGCGAGCGAACAGAGAGUACUGCGGUCGGGUCAAGAUUUGGGUUUUAACCUCUCGGGGGAGCGCAACACUGUCUCUACUUUCUCGUUUGGCCGUUGAUGGAGAUAUUUCACUCUUCUCCAUCCUGCCCCGUCGGAAUUUUUUAAAACUUGGUCUGGUGGGCUAGUAGUGCUGUGUUGAUCUUUCUCGAGGGGAGAGGGACGGUUCAUCUCGGGUCUCGAUCUUUCCAACGUAUUCGAUGGGCAUUCGUGACCAUGGCUUCGGCUUGUGCUAACUUGAUGCAUCAAAAGGUUUGUUGCGGUGGGUUGGGCGUAAUGGAGAAUCGUUGGUUUCUUAAAAUGCUUUCCAAAUGUCCCUUAAAGGUUUUCGUCCCUCGGAUUGCGAUUAUUCGUUAUGCUCCAUAUCAAAACAUUCCGAAAAAAAUGCGGAAGAACUAGCAUGCUUCGGCUUGUGCUAACUUGAUGCAUCAAAAGGUUUGUUGCGGUGGGUUGGGCGUAAUGGAGAAUCGUUGGUUUCUUAAAAUGCUUUCCAAAUGUCCCUUAAAGGUUUUCGUCCCUCGGAUUGUGUGUUCUUCACGUGAAGCGGUGCUGGUGUGGUCUUGCUUGAUGUUUCCGCAUUCUCAGCGGUUCUAGUAACCGUUGGGCUGUGGUUCGUUUGGUUGGGUCAUCAUCAGACGUACGCAACUCAUGUGUGAGUGGUGGUCGGAUGGCAUGGGUCUGCAAGCUCCUUGCUCAGUGCAACGAAUUGUAAGCCCUCCAUCCUUUUCAUAGUCUUCCCGCAAGCAUGUUCAUUUGCCUUGUGGGUAAGAUCGGUAUCCUGUGUUUUUUACCAAUUGAAUGGAAUUCGAUUGUUUUGGUUUCCUUAUUCGCUCGGUUCCCUUAGGGGUGUUGGGUGGACGGUAGGCUGACCUCGUGUUCCAGGUGCACCUCACAUUUUUGUGUGGUUACCAUGGCCCAUGGGGUUAUGCUUGUUCUGUUGGAUGCGGACCGUUAGUUGUGGGCGAGGGGUUGCGACCUCCAUUCGUCCAAGCUAUAUUAUGCAUUUGUCAAUCGACACGAACGACUGCCGCACUCGUCUUGGCUUUUUACAGUCGAAUGGCUGUACAACGUCCAUGCGAGUGUCGGUGUCGUGAAGGAAUGC